AGCGAACGCUGGCGGCAUGCUUAACACAUGCCAGUCGCACGGGCAGCAAUGUCAGUGGCGGACGGGUGAGUAACGCGUAGGAACGUGUCCUGAGGUGGGGGACAACCCCGGGAAACUGGGGCUAAUACCGCAUAUGGGCUGAGGCCCAAAGCCGAGAGGCGCCUUUGGAGCGGCCUGCGUCCGAUUAGGUAGUUGGUGGGGUAAAGGCCUACCAAGCCUGCGAUCGGUAGCUGGUCUGAGAGGACGACCAGCCACACUGGGACUGAGACACGGCCCAGACUCCUACGGGAGGGAGCAGUGGGGAAUAUUGGACAAGGGGCGAAAGCCUGACCCAGCAAUGCCGCGUGGGUGAAAAAGGUCUUCGGAUCGAAAAGCCCUUUCGACGGGGACGAUGAUGCCGGUACCCGUAGAAGAAGCCCCGGCUAACUUCGU
This 432-nucleotide ribosomal RNA is filed under the name uncultured bacterium. RNAcentral's name for it is "partial 16S ribosomal RNA". It matches the Rfam family "Bacterial small subunit ribosomal RNA", at positions 30 to 506 of the family's 1533-position model. The record is from RNAcentral.